UAAAUACUCCCUCCGUCCGGAAAUACUUGUCAUCAAAAUGGAUGAAAAUGGAUGUAUCUAAAACUAAAAUACAUCUAGAUACAUCCAUCUCAAUGACAAGUAUUUUCGGACGGAGGGAGUAUAUA
Non-coding RNA from Triticum urartu, 125 nucleotides. The record is from Rfam. NCBI's taxonomy places the organism in Eukaryota, Viridiplantae, Streptophyta, Magnoliopsida, Poales, Poaceae.